This is a long non-coding RNA of Mercenaria mercenaria, 2680 nucleotides long. RefSeq lists it as uncharacterized. The record is from RefSeq and is a predicted model, not a curated record. Lineage: Eukaryota; Metazoa; Mollusca; Bivalvia; Venerida; Veneridae. The transcript is spliced from 3 exons.
CAUCAUCGUUCUGCUAUUGGUUUUGUGAUAAAGUGACCGUGGUAAAGAUAUAGGAGACAACAUUUGCAUAUAAAUUAAACUAUGUUUCCUUCCAGGAUCUGGGAUAUUUGAAUCGUAUUAAAUUGUGUUUUUUGCAAGGCGGAAUUUUUAAAUUUUUUUUUGUUCACAAUUGACCUUGUCUGCAAAAGUGUAGGAAAUUAUUAACUGAAUUUGAAGACGACGGUUAAAUCAAAUUUGAGAAAGGAAGAGUGGAUGUAUAAGUACAGACAACAUGGAGAAACCAUAAAUGAUGCCAUAUAUAAAUGUGACAACGACAGAAAAGUAUAAGAAGGCGGAACAGUCGUUACUAUGGUUACCAUACGUCAUAAUUACAGUUGUGUGCCUUGUACUCCUUGCCAUUAACUUCUGGUGUUAUCAUAGGAGACGACGGUUACAAUAUGAGAGAAAAUCUGAAGUACUUGAGACAAGGGAGCGAGUUAGGGAACGCCGGAUCAUUCUUAAUAUUGUCAAAUCAAAAUAUAAGUCGUACAUUGUAGACGACAAGGGCAAAAAUAUGGAAGGAAAUUCAUGCGUUAUUUAUUCGAAUUCUAUGCAAUUUACAUCCAAUGGACAAGGAGUCGCGAAUAUGUGAUACAACAGAUGUCUAUUUCUAUUUUAGUUUUCUGUAUAACAGUAUUCCUAUUUGAUUGUUGCCUGUCUAGUUAUUUGAUAAAAUGAAAUAUUGAUAUAUAAACGAAGUGGCAAACUUGCACUUAUGAAACCUGCUAAUGUCAGGAAAAUUUAAUUAAAAUGAAAACGAUAAUCUUGCAGUUAAAAUCCUAUAGUAUAGUUAAAAAGUAGUGCGCAUGAUAAACAAUUAUGUCGGGAGCAGUUAACUUACAACAGUUGUUCUUAACAGCGGCAGUUAUAUCUUAAUUACGAAAAUGGCAAAGUUUAAAUCAUUAUCGUAUUCGUGACCAAGCUGACGAUUUCUCCAGUAGUAUGACUUGUUUAAAUAUUAGUAUAGGAUAGUUUGGACAUGAUGAAAUGUCGUUAUAUCAAUAGGUAUGUAUCUAUGUCUUUACACAGUCAUAAGAAAUCAUAUUAGACCGUCUGUAUAAACCAUGACGAAAUAAUCAAAGUUAUCGUGAAGUGUUAAUCUUUAAUUUCGGAUAUUUUCUAUGUUAAAUAAUUCUAUUUCAAGCAAGCAAUUUAAGAGAAUGCGUUGUUUAAAAUAUGCAAAUUCAUUGUAUUUCAAUAACGGAGAAGGAAAACCACAUUUAAGUAUAAGAAUUAAGAAAUACAUUAUUCUGUUUCUAAUUGUUAGAAGUGUUAUAUGUAUUUUGUGAAGCUGUUGUUUAUUUCACUGAGAAACGACAGUAAGUUUUCAAGAUAUUUCGGAUUCAUCAUAUUAUUUUAAAUGCAGUUGUUGGUAAUUAAUGCGGUCACAUAUGAUGUAGAAAAAGAAGAAUGAAUACUUAUCACAUCCCUCAGCUGAAAUUGUUUAAAGAAUGAAUUCUUAUACAUCUCUCAGAUGAAAUUGUGGUGGAGUAAAAAUAUUGUUCUUUUACAUUGGCAAAAUAUAGAAGAGGUCAUUAGGUUGUUCACCACCAUUCACUUUUUUAGUGCCUUGAAGUACUGGAAAUCUUUAUUCAAGCCAUUGGUUAAAGUAGGAUCUUUGAGGGUGGCAAAUUAGAAAUGUUAUUCAGUGUAUAGCCAUUAUUUAUUACAUAGGUAGAAUACUAUGAAGUUAGGUCAUGCUUGAAAUAUCUGCAACCAUCUUGAAAUAAAUAAAUUGUUCAAAUAAAGAUACCCAACUUGAGCGCAUCAUUUCCUAUUUAACGCCAAGUUGCCAAGUUUAUUGCAUAUUGUAAUCUUUUACAUCUUACAUCUAUUAAACAGUCGUCAUAAAAUAAUUCGAGGCAAACAUUAUUAGCUUUGCAAGGAUUAAUUCAUGUUUAAAAAUAUGCUUGAGUGCAAUUGAGACUAAUUCUGUGAAGUGUGUGUUAGAAUUGUAAAUGUUUAUUACAAUUAUUUUUAUCACUACAAAUGCAUCUUUCAUUUUUAAUGCUAUAUGCUGACUGUUAAUAGUAAACUUUGAAAAGCAAUAAAAGCAUUACACGUGUUUCAUAUCUCAUUUUGCUAAACUUGGCCCAUACAUAUGAGCCGUCUAUGUUCUUUUGCAGUUGCACCACAUCAUUCAAUGAUCCAUAGUAGGUGCAACUAUAAAUUUCCAUUAGUCUUGUUCUUCAUGAUUCAGUGCAUCAAUUUUCUUGUAUGAAAAUUAGUUUAUCAUUGGUUUCGAAAAUCUCUUACUUGUUCUUUGAUUGUACGUUAGAUUUAUGAAUAUGUUUAUUCGUACAACAAAUUAUAAAACCUUUACCCUGCUAAGUUUCUAAAAUGGGACUUGGCCAUCAUUCAAUUUGGGCAGUACCAUUUAUUAUUCGAAGGGGUGUUCAUUGAAAACUCACUGACUGAAUAGCGAACGGUGCAGACUAUGAUCCGACUGCAAGGAUGUUCAGGCUGAUCUUGGUCUGCGCUGGUCGCAAAGGCAGAAUAACUUACCGACAGUAGGCUAAAGGUUAAUCACAUGCCGUUGUUACACAUGCUUUCUCUGUUAUAUAUGCUACUGAAUUGUCAAACAACAUAUUGAUGAAAUAAACAUUACGUACUGUGCACUGAAAAUAAAUAACUUUUUGUA